UAAGUGAUGCACCUGGGGAGUACGAUCGCAAGAUUGAAACUCAAAGGAAUUGACGGGGGCCCGCACAAGCGGUGGAGCAUGUGGUUUAAUUCGAUGAUACGCGAGGAACCUUACCAGGGCUUAAAUGCAGAACGACAGACUGAGAAAUCAGUUUUUCUUCGGACGUUUUGCAAGGUGCUGCAUGGUUGUCGUCAGCUCGUGCCGUGAGGUGUCAGGUUAAGUCCUAUAACGAGCGCAACCCCUAUCAUUAGUUGCCAGCGAUUCGGUCGGGGACUCUAAUGAAACUGCCAGCGCAAGCUGUGAGGAAGGUGGGGAUGACGUCAAAUCAUCACGGCCCUUACGUCCUGGGCUACACACGUGCUACAAUGGUAACGACAGAGGGCAGCCACUUGGUGACAAGGAGCGAAUCCCAAAACGUUAUCUCAGUUCGGAUUGAAGUCUGCAACUCGACUUCAUGAAGCUGGAAUCGCUAGUAAUCGCGCAUCAGCCAUGGCGCGGUGAAUACGUUCCCGGGCCUUGUACACACCGCCCGUCAAGCCAUGGAAGCUGGGGGUGCC
RNAcentral lists this ribosomal RNA (557 nucleotides) under uncultured Bacteroidota bacterium. Its description in RNAcentral is "bacterial SSU rRNA". It matches the Rfam family "Bacterial small subunit ribosomal RNA", at positions 861 to 1421 of the family's 1533-position model. The record is from RNAcentral. Lineage: Bacteria; Pseudomonadati; Bacteroidota.